RNAcentral lists this transfer RNA (69 nucleotides) under Rattus norvegicus (Norway rat). It matches the Rfam family "tRNA". From Rfam's summary of the family: Transfer RNA (tRNA) molecules are approximately 80 nucleotides in length. Their secondary structure includes four short double-helical elements and three loops (D, anti-codon, and T loops). Further hydrogen bonds mediate the characteristic L-shaped molecular structure. tRNAs have two regions of fundamental functional importance: the anti-codon, which is responsible for specific mRNA codon recognition, and the 3' end, to which the tRNAs corresponding amino acid is attached (by aminoacyl-tRNA synthetases). tRNAs cope with the degeneracy of the genetic code in two manners: having more than one tRNA (with a specific anti-codon) for a particular amino acid; and 'wobble' base-pairing, i.e. permitting non-standard base-pairing at the 3rd anti-codon position. Lineage: Eukaryota; Metazoa; Chordata; Mammalia; Rodentia; Muridae. The record is from Rfam by way of RNAcentral.
GGGGAUUUAGCUCAGCGGUAGAGUGUUUGCCUAGCGAGCGCAAGGCCCUGGGUUCGGUCCCCAGCUCCA